GGAGUAUCACUCGUCAAAACUGAUUGUAUUUCAGUCAUUUCAUUACAUAAUUGUUCUAUUAUAAAAAUUAAAUCAACAUUCUAAGGAGCAUCCAGACAUGGACGCACCUGGCAUCCCUAAAAUAAGAAAAAUAUAAUAAAAAAACAUGUCAAAACCAUUUUCCCGACACUAAUAACCUAUAAUAUUUGAGCGGAUGGAAAUCGCACAAUAACACAAAAAAGCCCUCAUAUGUAUUUCACCUAUUUUCACAGAGUAAGUUGCUAUUUUCUAAAGAUUUAUUUGGCUUCUUAACGUCAGGUAUACCUAUCGGUCAUAAUUUUUCUGUUAUACAGAAAUAUCAUGAUUGUUCACAUUAACAAGAC
Molecule: long non-coding RNA, 362 nt
Filed under: Mytilus galloprovincialis (Mediterranean mussel)
Lineage: Eukaryota; Metazoa; Mollusca; Bivalvia; Mytilida; Mytilidae
Source: RNAcentral